Molecule: ribosomal RNA, 250 nt
Filed under: uncultured bacterium
Lineage: Bacteria
Description: partial 16S ribosomal RNA
Rfam family: Bacterial small subunit ribosomal RNA
Source: RNAcentral
CCGCGGUAAUACGGGAGAUGCGAGCGUCGUUCGGAAUCACUGGGCUUAAAGCGCGUGUAGGCGGCUCGGUAAGUACCUUGUGAAAUCCCACGUCUCAAACGUGGAACUGCUUGGUGUACUGCCGUACUCGAGGUUGGUAGAGGUGCCUGGAACUCUAGGUGGAGCGGUGAAAUGCGUAGAUAUCUAGAGGAACGCCCGUGGCGAAAGCGGGGCACUGGGCCACACCUGACGCUGAGACGCGAAAGCGUGG